Molecule: ribosomal RNA, 398 nt
Filed under: uncultured bacterium
Lineage: Bacteria
Description: partial 16S ribosomal RNA
Rfam family: Bacterial small subunit ribosomal RNA
Source: RNAcentral
UGCACAAUGGGCGAAAGCCCGAUGCAGCGACGCCGCGUGGGGGAUGAAGGCCUUCGGGUCGUAGACCCCUUUCAGCAUGGAAGAAGCGAGAGUGCCGGUACCUGCAGAAGAAGCGCCGUCUAACUCCGUCCGAGCGACCGCGGUAAUACGUAGGGCGCAAGCGUUGUCCGGAAUUAUUGGGCGUAAAGAGCUCGUAGGCGGUCAGUCGCGUCUGCUGUGAAAACCCGAGGCUCAACCUCGGGCCUGCAGUGGGUACGGGCUGACUAGAGUGCGGUAGGGGAGACUGGAAUUCCUGGUGUAGCGGUGGAAUGCGCAGAUAUCAGGAGGAACACCGAUGGCGAAGGCAGGUCUCUGGGCCGCAACUGACGCUGAGGAGCGAAAGCAUGGGGAGCGAACAG